CGGAAGUGCGGCGUGCUAUACAUGCAAGUCGAGCGGACAGAUGGGAGCUUGCUCCCUGAUGUUAGCGGCGGACGGGUGAGUAACACGUGGGUAACCUGCCUGUAAGACUGGGAUAACUCCGGGAAACCGGGGCUAAUACCGGAUGGUUGUUUGAACCGCAUGGUUCAGACAUAAAAGGUGGCUUCGGCUACCACUUACAGAUGGACCCGCGGCGCAUUAGCUAGUUGGUGAGGUAACGGCUCACCAAGGCGACGAUGCGUAGCCGACCUGAGAGGGUGAUCGGCCACACUGGGACUGAGACACGGCCCAGACUCCUACGGGAGGCAGCAGUAGGGAAUCUUCCGCAAUGGACGAAAGUCUGACGGAGCAACGCCGCGUGAGUGAUGAAGGUUUUCGGAUCGUAAAGCUCUGUUGUUAGGGAAGAACAAGUGCCGUUCAAAUAGGGCGGCACCUUGACGGUACCUAACCAGAAAGCCACGGCUAACUACGUGCCAGCAGCCGCGGUAAUACGUAGGUGGCAAGCGUUGUCCGGAAUUAUUGGGCGUAAAGGGCUCGCAGGCGGUUUCUUAAGUCUGAUGUGAAAGCCCCCGGCUCAACCGGGGAGGGUCAUUGGAAACUGGGGAACUUGAGUGCAGAAGAGGAGAGUGGAAUUCCACGUGUAGCGGUGAAAUGCGUAGAGAUGUGGAGGAACACCAGUGGCGAAGGCGACUCUCUGGUCUGUAACUGACGCUGAGGAGCGAAAGCGUGGGGAGCGAACAGGAUUAGAUACCCUGGUAGUCCACGCCGUAAACGAUGAGUGCUAAGUGUUAGGGGUUUCCGCCCCUUAGUGCUGCAGCUAACGCAUUAAGCACUCCGCCUGGGGAGUACGGUCGCAAGACUGAAACUCAAAGGAAUUGACGGGGCCCGCACAAGCGGUGUAGCAUGUGGUUUAAUUCGAAGCAACGCGAAGAACCUUACUAGUCUUGACAUCGUCUGACAAUCCUAGAGAUAGGACGUCCCCUUCGGGGGCAGAGUGACAGGUGGUGCAUGAUGUCGUCAGCUCGUGCUCGUGAAGAUGUU
RNAcentral lists this ribosomal RNA (1059 nucleotides) under Bacillus amyloliquefaciens. RNAcentral describes it as "bacterial SSU rRNA". It matches the Rfam family "Bacterial small subunit ribosomal RNA", at positions 30 to 1076 of the family's 1533-position model. The record is from RNAcentral. Lineage: Bacteria; Bacillati; Bacillota; Bacilli; Caryophanales; Bacillaceae.